RNAcentral lists this ribosomal RNA (253 nucleotides) under uncultured bacterium. Its description in RNAcentral is "partial 16S ribosomal RNA". It matches the Rfam family "Bacterial small subunit ribosomal RNA", at positions 524 to 776 of the family's 1533-position model. The record is from RNAcentral.
UACGGGGGGGGCAAGCGUUGUUCGGAAUUACUGGGCGUAAAGGGCUCGUAGGUGGCCAACUAAGUCAUGCGUGAAAUCCCUCGGCUUAACCGGGGAACUGCGUCUGAUACUGGAUGGCUUGAGUUUGGGAGAGGGAUGCGGAAUUCCUGGUGUAGCGGUGGAAUGCGCAGAUAUCAGGAGGAACACCGGUGGCGAAGGCGGGUCUCUGGGCCGAUAUUGACGCUGAGGAGCGAAAGCGUGGGGAGCAAACAGG